This 254-nucleotide ribosomal RNA is filed under the name uncultured bacterium. RNAcentral's name for it is "partial 16S ribosomal RNA". It matches the Rfam family "Bacterial small subunit ribosomal RNA", at positions 524 to 776 of the family's 1533-position model. The record is from RNAcentral.
UACGUAGGGUGCAAGCGUUGUCCGGAAUUAUUGGGCGUAAAGAGCUCGUAGGCGGCUUGUCGCGUCGGUCGUGAAAACUUGGGGCUUAACCCUGAGCUUGCGGUCGAUACGGGCAUGACUGGAGUUCGGUAGGGGAGACUGGAAUUCCUGGUGUAGCGGUGAAAUGCGCAGAUAUCAGGAGGAACACCGGUGGCGAAGGCGGGUCUCUGGGCCGAUACUGACGCUGAGGAGCGAAAGCGUGGGGAGCAAACGGG